This 253-nucleotide ribosomal RNA is filed under the name uncultured bacterium. RNAcentral describes it as "partial 16S ribosomal RNA". It matches the Rfam family "Bacterial small subunit ribosomal RNA", at positions 524 to 776 of the family's 1533-position model. The record is from RNAcentral.
UACGUAGGGUGCAAGCGUUGUCCGGAAUUAUUGGGCGUAAAGGGCGCGUAGGCGGUCCAUCGCGUCGGGAGUGAAAAGCUGGGGCUUAACCCCAGUCCUGCUUCCGAUACGGGUGGACUAGAGGUAGGUAGGGGAGAUCGGAAUUCCUGGUGUAGCGGUGAAAUGCGCAGAUAUCAGGAGGAACACCGGUGGCGAAGGCGGAUCUCUGGGCCGUAACUGACGCUGAGGAGCGAAAGCAUGGGGAGCGAACAGG